AUAUCCAUAUACUUGUGAUCAUCAAUGGCUGAACAUCACUUCUAUAUCCAAUAAACGGUGGAACAACGUCAAAAUCUGCUCCGUUGAUCGAUAAACGGCGGCACGCUUCCGAUAAAGGGUGGGAAGACACGCGAGCGAAAGGGAUUACUUCACGGGACUAAUAUUUUGGGGCUGAGCACGUUCUAAUCAACAACACAACAGUGGAAUGUCUUCCGGUAACCAUUGAAUGACACACUUUUGGCAACUGACGGUGGAAACUCCGUCAAGCGGUUCUUAGUGGCAUGGGUGCUUCUCUC
RNAcentral lists this long non-coding RNA (296 nucleotides) under Vigna radiata. RNAcentral describes it as "long non-coding RNA (VRAD_LNC010355)". The record is from RNAcentral. Lineage: Eukaryota; Viridiplantae; Streptophyta; Magnoliopsida; Fabales; Fabaceae.